RNAcentral lists this ribosomal RNA (465 nucleotides) under uncultured bacterium. Its description in RNAcentral is "partial 16S ribosomal RNA". It matches the Rfam family "Bacterial small subunit ribosomal RNA", at positions 28 to 507 of the family's 1533-position model. The record is from RNAcentral.
GACGAACGCUGGCGGCGUGCUUAACACAUGCAAGUCGAACGGAAAGGCCCCUUUGGGGGUACUCGAGUGGCGAACGGGUGAGUAACACGUGAGUAACCUUCCCUUGACUUCGGGACAACUUCAGGAAACUGGGGCUAAUACCGGAUAGGAAUCCUUGCUGCAUGGUGGGGGUUGGAAAGCUUCGGCGGUUUUGGAUGGACUCGCGGCCUAUCAGCUUGUUGGUGGGGUAGUGGGUUACCAAGGCUUUGACGGGUAGCCGGCCUGAGGGGGCGACCGGCCACAUUGAGACUGAGGGAAGGCACAGACUCCGACGGGAGGCAGAAGUGGGGAAGAUUGAACAAGGGGCGGAAGCCUGAUGCAGCAGGGCCGCGUGCGGGAUGACGGCCUUCGGGUUGUAGAACGCUUUCAGCAGGAGCGAAGCUUGUGGUGACGGUACCUGCAGAAGAAGCACCGGCUAACUACGUG